This 88-nucleotide transfer RNA is filed under the name Oligoflexia bacterium. RNAcentral describes it as "tRNA-Leu". It matches the Rfam family "tRNA". From Rfam's summary of the family: Transfer RNA (tRNA) molecules are approximately 80 nucleotides in length. Their secondary structure includes four short double-helical elements and three loops (D, anti-codon, and T loops). Lineage: Bacteria; Pseudomonadati; Bdellovibrionota; Oligoflexia. The record is from RNAcentral.
GCCUGGGUGGUGGAAUUGGCAGACACGCAAGAUUCAGGUUCUUGUGAGCGUUAAGCUUGUGCAGGUUCAAGUCCUGUCCCAGGCACCA